Molecule: transfer RNA, 98 nt
Organism: Pestalotiopsis fici W106-1
Lineage: Eukaryota; Fungi; Ascomycota; Sordariomycetes; Amphisphaeriales; Sporocadaceae
Rfam family: tRNA
About the family: Transfer RNA (tRNA) molecules are approximately 80 nucleotides in length.
Source: Rfam
GCCCCGCUGGCUCAAUGGUAGAGCAUUAGACUUCUAUGGUCGGUAGAAUUAUUGACUAUGCAAUCUAAAGGUUGCGGGUUCGAUCCCCGCGUGGGGUU